CUAGCAAAUUAGUAUCUAGUUUAAUAUAAUUUCUAACUACCUUAACCUUAGUCGACUAAUCUUUUUACUUUUAGUCGAUACCCUUUUCGCAUUAAAAUGGAUAAGCGACCUCAAUAGUAGUCGAGAAAAUUUGACUAUAUCGAAUUCAAAUAACUUAUAUUGGGAUCUCUUCUGGGUGUAAAAGGUACAUCAAAAGAGUUAUGAUGAGCUUGAGUGAAAAUUUGCUUGAAAGUCGGAGUGGAUGAAGUUGAAUGUAUGAUUGCAUCAACAUUGUGAUCGAUUGAUAGGCCAUACAUGGACAAGCGCAAACCUAGAGUUAGAUCACCGCAAAGGGGACAUAGGGGAAGAAGGUGUCUGAAGACACCUAAUAAUGAUUUAAAUAUAAAAAGGGUUUUUGGUUUAGUUCAAUGUGUCCUAAUAUGUAUUUAAUUGAAGUAUAAUGUUUCUUUUGGUCCUCAUUAUAGUACGAAAGGAAAAAUAAGAAAAAAAGAAACAAGAAUGAACUCUAAUUACAAAUAAUAUUUUUAUAUGAAGAUCUAUUCUAAGGUCAAGUGAUCAAUUUCAUUUGUUGAAGGGACAAACAUGAUACAUCGACGUACAUUAGAGUCACUUAUUAAUUAUUAUAAUGAAGGGUUUCUUGCAUUAACAUAACUCCUAAAAACUUUUUAAUUGAAGUAAACAUAACAUUAGGUUUUUAUUAUAAGGUGAUCAAACAAUUCUCUACUUGUCAGAUAAAAAGGUAGAACAAAAUGGCUAAAACUCUCAAGGUUGAUUACACUAUGAUUCUUUUAGUGUCCCUAUUUCUUCUUUAAUCACCACUAGUGAUCUACCCACGUCUUCUGUGUCUCCUCUUAUUAUAUAUUUGUAUGCAAACUUUGGUGAUGACAAGAAAUCAAUAGAGCUUGUGGAAUACUAGAGAUCUAUAAGGCUCCUUCGUUGAUGACUUGAAGCAGUUACAGAAGCAGUUGUGGUUAACCUUCUAAAAAUCAUUAUGAAAUGAAAAAAAUAAGAGACACAUAUAUGUGUAUCAAAAUAAUUAAAUAUAAAUGCACUUUUAACUCUUUAAAGAUUUCAAUUGUUUGAGUUUUUGAA
Molecule: long non-coding RNA, 1092 nt
Organism: Cicer arietinum (chickpea)
Lineage: Eukaryota; Viridiplantae; Streptophyta; Magnoliopsida; Fabales; Fabaceae
Source: RefSeq, a predicted model, not a curated record